CUGAGUGGUGAGGGCUUGGCAGUCACAAUGGGUGGGGAUUCCUGCUGGCCCUUCAAGGGACACUGUGGGGCCCCACCUGCCCGGGGCAGCCAGACAUCCUUGACCUCCUGAAGACCGCCUGGGCUCUGGGGUUAACCUGGGAGGCUCUGUGGCAGGUGGGAGACCCAUGUGCCUACCCUGUGAUGUUCUCUGUCUGUCUGGGACAGAAGCAAGUGGAGACCCACAAUGACCAAGCCAGGAGGUCCAGAAACUGAGGCUCGGAGUCCGAAGCGGUGGGACCAGGAUUCCAGGGCAGGGGCACCACUGCAAGCAGAGCCUGUGUGUCCGCACGGUGGGCGUGGCCCCCUCCCUGGGGGUGGAGAGCGUGCGAUUCGAUCCAGGGAUGUUCUACAGGGAAGGGACCCUCCUCUCACCAGGAAGCUGCAGAGGACUGUCCUUGGAUUUGGAGAGGGAGCACACGGGCCGUGUCCCACACUGGAGAUGUGGCUGGAGAUCUGAUGUUGCUGCUGGUGGAGCAGCAUCCUCUGUGAGCCCAGGUUGCCUCUUGUCAUGUAGAGCCAGCAUCAGAGUACACUGGAGACAAGGCAGACACAGUCCCUGAGCUCGUGAGAUUACAGCCAAGGAGAAUCAGUCACCUUCCCAUGAAAUCAGCAGCUCUUUCUGUCC
Molecule: long non-coding RNA, 666 nt
Filed under: Capra hircus (goat)
Lineage: Eukaryota; Metazoa; Chordata; Mammalia; Artiodactyla; Bovidae
Description: lncRNA (ENSCHIG00000001718.1)
Source: RNAcentral